RNAcentral lists this ribosomal RNA (892 nucleotides) under uncultured Planctomycetota bacterium. Its description in RNAcentral is "bacterial SSU rRNA". It matches the Rfam family "Bacterial small subunit ribosomal RNA", at positions 35 to 916 of the family's 1533-position model. Lineage: Bacteria; Pseudomonadati; Planctomycetota. The record is from RNAcentral.
GCGUGGGGUGUGAUAGGGCAUGCAGUCGAGCGCGAAAGUCCGCAAGGACGAGUAAAGCGGCGAAAGGGUGAGUAAUACGUAACCAAUCUACCCCUGAGACCGGAAUAACUGGCGGAAACGCUGGCUAAUGCCGGAUGGCCCCCCCGGGAGGCAUCUCCUGGGCGGUAAACGGUGGCGCAAGCUGCUGCUCGGGGAGGGGGUUAUGGGCUAUCAGCUAGUUGGUGAGGUAACGGCCCACCAAGGCUAUGACGGCUAGCCGGUCUGAGAGGAUGGUCGGCCACAUUGGGACUGAGACACUGCCCAAACUCCUACGGGAGGCUGCAGUCGAGGAUCUUCCGCAAUGGGCGAAAGCCUGACGGAGCGACACCGCGUACAGGAUGAAGGCCUUCGGGUUGUAAACUGUUGUCACGCUAUAGGAAUGCCAUGGCGCUCAUACCGCCAUGAUUGACCAAAGCGAGAGGAAGCAUCGGCUAACUCUGUGCCAGCAGCCGCGGUAAGACAGAGGAUGCAAACGUUGUUCGGAAUCACUGGGCAUAAAGCGCACGUAGGCGGUCUGUUAAGUCAGGUGUGAAAGCCCCCGGCUCAACCGGGGAACUGCAUUUGAUACUGGCAGGCUAGAGAACGGUAGGGGUGAGUGGAACUCCAGGUGGAGCGGUGAAAUGCGUAGAUAUCUGGAGGAACACCGGUGGCGAAAGCGGCUCACUGGACCGUCACUGACGCUGAGGUGCGAAAGCUAGGGUAGCAAACGGGAUUAGAUACCCCGGUAGUCCUAGCCGUAAACGAUGGGUACUGGGUAGGGGGGAUGCCUAUGGUCCUCUCUGCCGGAGCUAAUGUGUUAAGUACCCCGCCUGGGGAGUACGCUCGCAAGGGUAAAACUCAAAGGAAUUGACGG